UGGGGAAUCUUAGACAAUGGGGGAAACCCUGAUCUAGCCAUGCCGCGUGAUCGAUGAAGGCCUUAGGGUUGUAAAGAUCUUUCAGUUGGGAAGAUAAUGACGGUACCAACAGAAGAAGCCCCGGCUAACUCCGUGCCAGCAGCCGCGGUAAUACGGAGGGGCUAGCGUUAUUCGGAAUUACUGGGCGUAAAGCGCACGUAGGCGGACUGGAAAGUCAGAGGUGAAAGCCCAGGGCUCAACCCUGGAACUG
RNAcentral lists this ribosomal RNA (250 nucleotides) under uncultured bacterium. Its description in RNAcentral is "partial 16S ribosomal RNA". It matches the Rfam family "Bacterial small subunit ribosomal RNA", at positions 355 to 623 of the family's 1533-position model. The record is from RNAcentral.